This 504-nucleotide ribosomal RNA is filed under the name Theridiidae sp. JC-2009. Its description in RNAcentral is "eukaryotic LSU rRNA". It matches the Rfam family "Eukaryotic large subunit ribosomal RNA", at positions 2411 to 2907 of the family's 3401-position model. The record is from RNAcentral. Lineage: Eukaryota; Metazoa; Arthropoda; Arachnida; Araneae; Theridiidae.
CAUCCCUGUUGAGCUUGACUCUAGUCUGGCUAUGUGAAGAGACAUGAGAGGUGUAGUAUAAGUGGGAGGUGCUUGCACCGUCAGUGAAAUACCACUACUUUCAUCGUUUCUUUACUUACUCGGUUAAGCGGGAAGCGAUCCGAAAGGGUCACGCUUCUAGCCCCAAGCGCGCUGCCUCCUUGUAGCGCGCGAUCCGCUCCGAGGACAUUUUCAGGUGGGUUGUUUGGCUGGGGCGGUACAUCUGUCAAAAGGUAACGCAGAUGUCCUAAGGCAAGCUCAGCGAGGACAGAAACCUCGCGUAGAGCAAAAGGGCAAAAGCUUGCUUGAUCUUGAUUUUCAGUAUGAAUACGGACUGCGAAAGCAGGGCCUAUCGAUCCUUUUGACUUUACGAGUUUUAUGCAAGAGGUGUCAGAAAAGUUACCACAGGGAUAACUGGCUCAUGGCAGCCAAGCGUUCAUAGCGACGUUGCUUUUUGAUCCUUCGAUGUCGGCUUCAACAGGGAUG